UCGCUUAGGCAAGGCAUACCGGCAUAGGUCCCGUGGUUUCACUGGUUUCGCGCGCUUUCUCGGUGUUUUCGAAGUUGGACUCGUGGAUCCGGUCUGCAUUUCAGUCGAAGAGCUUACGCUUGGCGGGAAGCGCGCCAUGGAAAGCGAAUACGAAAGUGACCCCUUUGUCGUGGUGUCUUUUCCUCAAGAGGAGGACAUUUUGGUCAUCAUUCACAAGUCAUGGCUGAAAGAAGACCACCGCUCUACAUUUUGGCCAAUAGAAAGAAACCCUGGAAAACGGCGAAAACUAACGAUGCAAGGCGCUAAACCAACAGGGUCCUGGAUUCAAGUGCAGUGCAUCGUCAAACGCUGGGCUAGUAAGGUUGCAUUUUACUUUCUCAGUUUCUGUGUAUUGAACAAGCUUUUUUC
Long non-coding RNA from Dermacentor silvarum, 408 nucleotides. RefSeq lists it as uncharacterized. The transcript has 3 exons. The record is from RefSeq and is a predicted model, not a curated record. NCBI's taxonomy places the organism in Eukaryota, Metazoa, Arthropoda, Arachnida, Ixodida, Ixodidae.